UAGUGGCGAACGGGUGAGUAACACGUGAGGAACCUGCCCCGGAGACCGGAAUAGCCCAGGGAAACUUGGAUUAAUGCCGGAUGUCCUCGGAUGGUCGCAUGGCCGGCCGAGGAAACAGUCCGCUGCUCCGGGAUGGCCUCGUGGCCUAUCAGCUUGUUGGUGAGGUAACGGCUCACCAAGGCGACGACGGGUAGCUGGUCUGAGAGGACGAUCAGCCACACUGGGACUGAGACACGGCCCAGACUCCUGCGGGAGGCAGCAGCAGGGAAUUUUGCACAAUGGACGAAAGUCUGAUGCAGCGACGCCGCGUGGGGGAUGAAUGCCUUCGGGUUGUAAACCCUUUUCAGGAGGGACGAAGCGAAAGUGACGGUACCUUCAGAAGAAGCCCCGGCCAACUACGUGCCAGCAGCCGCGGUAAUACGUAGGGGGCGAACGUUGUCCGGAUUUAUUGGGCGUAAAGAGCUCGUAGGCGGCUCAGCAAGUCGGCCGUGAAAACCCGGGGCUCAACCCCGGGACGCCGGUUGAAACUGCUGUGGCUAGGGUCCGGUAGAGGAGAGUGGAAUUCCCGGUGUAGCGGUGAAAUGCGCAGAUAUCGGGAGGAACACCAGUAGCGAAGGCGGCUCUCUGGGCCGGUACCGACGCUGAGGAGCGAAAGCUAGGGGAGCAAACAGGAUUAGAUACCCUGGUAGUCCUAGCUGUAAA
This 702-nucleotide ribosomal RNA is filed under the name uncultured bacterium. RNAcentral describes it as "bacterial SSU rRNA". It matches the Rfam family "Bacterial small subunit ribosomal RNA", at positions 93 to 806 of the family's 1533-position model. The record is from RNAcentral.